GUCAAAGCGUUCAUUAAAGUCGAGUUGGCUUAGGGAUACGUUCGUUGGGUAGGGGAGCGUUCUGUAAGCCUGUGAAGGUGUGUCGUGAGGCAUGCUGGAGGUAUCAGAAGUGCGAAUGCUGACAUAAGUAACGAUAAAGCGGGUGAAAAGCCCGCUCGCCGGAAGACCAAGGGUUCCUGUCCAACGUUAAUCGGGGCAGGGUGAGUCGACCCCUAAGGCGAGGCCGAAAGGCGUAGUCGAUGGGAAACGGGUUAAUAUUCCCGUACUUGGUGUUACUGCGAAGGGGGGACGGAGAAGGCUAUGUUGGCCGGGCGACGGUUGUCCCGGUUUAAGCGUGUAGGUGUGUGUUCCAGGUAAAUCCGGUUCACUUUAACACUGAGGCGUGACGACGAGGCACUACGGUGCUGAAGCAACAAAUGCCCUG
Molecule: ribosomal RNA, 424 nt
Filed under: Salmonella enterica
Lineage: Bacteria; Pseudomonadati; Pseudomonadota; Gammaproteobacteria; Enterobacterales; Enterobacteriaceae
Description: partial 23S ribosomal RNA
Rfam family: Bacterial large subunit ribosomal RNA
Source: RNAcentral